GCCUGCAUUUCUAGAGUCUACAUUGUUCCC
RNAcentral lists this non-coding RNA (30 nucleotides) under Mus musculus (house mouse). The record is from RNAcentral. Lineage: Eukaryota; Metazoa; Chordata; Mammalia; Rodentia; Muridae.